GCUUAUGUAGCUCAGUGGUAAAGUGCUUGCUUAGCACGUAUGAGACCCUAGGUUCAAUCCCCAGUAUGGGAA
RNAcentral lists this transfer RNA (72 nucleotides) under Heterocephalus glaber (naked mole-rat). It matches the Rfam family "tRNA". Rfam says of the family: Transfer RNA (tRNA) molecules are approximately 80 nucleotides in length. Their secondary structure includes four short double-helical elements and three loops (D, anti-codon, and T loops). Lineage: Eukaryota; Metazoa; Chordata; Mammalia; Rodentia; Bathyergidae. The record is from Rfam by way of RNAcentral.